RNAcentral lists this ribosomal RNA (611 nucleotides) under Leuconostoc lactis. RNAcentral's name for it is "bacterial SSU rRNA". It matches the Rfam family "Bacterial small subunit ribosomal RNA", at positions 80 to 677 of the family's 1533-position model. Lineage: Bacteria; Bacillati; Bacillota; Bacilli; Lactobacillales; Lactobacillaceae. The record is from RNAcentral.
UUGCACCUUUCAAGCGAGUGGCGAACGGGUGAGUAACACGUGGAUAACCUGCCUCAAGGCUGGGGAUAACAUUUGGAAACAGAUGCUAAUACCGAAUAAAACUUAGUAUCGCAUGAUACAAAGUUGAAAGGCGCUACGGCGUCACCUAGAGAUGGGUCCGCGGUGCAUUAGUUAGUUGGUGGGGUAAAGGCCUACCAAGACAAUGAUGCAUAGCCGAGUUGAGAGACUGAUCGGCCACAUUGGGACUGAGACACGGCCCAAACUCCUACGGGAGGCUGCAGUAGGGAAUCUUCCACAAUGGGCGAAAGCCUGAUGGAGCAACGCCGCGUGUGUGAUGAAGGCUUUAGGGUCGUAAAGCACUGUUGUAUGGGAAGAAAUGCUAGAAUAGGGAAUGAUUCUAGUUCGACGGUACCAUACCAGAAAGGGACGGCUAAAUACGUGCCAGCAGCCGCGGUAAUACGUAUGUCCCGAGCGUUAUCCGGAUUUAUUGGGCGUAAAGCGAGCGCAGACGGUUGAUUAAGUCUGAUGUGAAAGCCCGGAGCUCAACUCCGGAAUGGCAUUGGAAACUGGUUAACUUGAGUGUUGUAGAGGUAAGUGGAACUCAGGGGACA